CUACGGGUCGCUGCAGUGGGGGAUAUUGCACAAUGGAGGAAACUCUGAUGCAGCGACGCCGCGUGAGUGAUGAAGUAUUUCGGUAUGUAAAGCUCUAUCAGCAGGGAAGAAAGGCUCCGUAUGGAGAGAUGACGGUACCUGAGUAAGAAGCCCCGGCUAACUACGUGCCAGCAGCCGCGGUAAUACGUAGGGGGCGAGCGUUAUCCGGAAUUACUGGGUGUAAAGGGAGCGCAGACGGAUCUGCAAGUCUGAUGUGAAAGCCCGGGGCUCACCCCCGGGACUGCAUUGGAAACUGUAGAUCUGGAGUAUUGGAAGGGCAAGCGGAAUUCCUGGUGUAGCGGUGAUAUGCGUAGAUAUCAGGAGGAACACCGGUGGCGAAGGCGGCUUGCUGGACAAUAACUGACGUUGAGGCUCGAAAGCGUGGGGAGCAAACAGGAUUAGAUACCCGUGUAGUC
This 455-nucleotide ribosomal RNA is filed under the name uncultured bacterium. RNAcentral's name for it is "partial 16S ribosomal RNA". It matches the Rfam family "Bacterial small subunit ribosomal RNA", at positions 339 to 795 of the family's 1533-position model. The record is from RNAcentral.